UACGUGGGGGGCAAGCGUUGUCCGGAUUUAUUGGGCGUAAAGAGCGGGUAGGCGGCCUUAUAGGUCUGCUGUGAAAACCUGAGGCUCAACCUCGAGACGUCGGUUGAAACCGUAAGGCUAGAGUCCGGAAGAGGAGAGUGGAAUUCCCGGUGUAGCGGUGAAAUGCGCAGAUAUCGGGAAGAACACCAGUGGCGAAGGCGGCGCUCUGGGACGGUACUGACGCUCAGACGCGAAAGCGUGGGGAGCGAACAGG
Molecule: ribosomal RNA, 253 nt
Filed under: uncultured bacterium
Lineage: Bacteria
Description: partial 16S ribosomal RNA
Rfam family: Bacterial small subunit ribosomal RNA
Source: RNAcentral